This 506-nucleotide ribosomal RNA is filed under the name uncultured Pseudomonas sp. RNAcentral's name for it is "bacterial SSU rRNA". It matches the Rfam family "Bacterial small subunit ribosomal RNA", at positions 903 to 1382 of the family's 1533-position model. The record is from RNAcentral. Lineage: Bacteria; Pseudomonadati; Pseudomonadota; Gammaproteobacteria; Pseudomonadales; Pseudomonadaceae.
CGCCUUGCCAGCCCGCUCAGAACUUAAAGGAAUUGACGGGGCCCGCACAAGCGUGGAGCAUGUGGUUUAAUUCGAAGCAACGCGAAGAACCUUACCAGGCCUUGACAUGCAGAGAACUUUCCAGAGAUGGAUUGGUGCCUUCGGGAACUCUGACACAGGUGCUGCAUGGCUGUCGUCAGCUCGUGUCGUGAGAUGUUGGGUUAAGUCCCGUAACGAGCGCAACCCUUGUCCUUAGUUACCAGCACGUUAUGGUGGGCACUCUAAGGAGACUGCCGGUGACAAACCGGAGGAAGGUGGGGAUGACGUCAAGUCAUCAUCGGCCCUUACGGCCUGGGCUACACACGUGCUACAAUGGUCGGUACAAAGGGUUGCCAAGCCGCGAGGUGGAGGCUAAUCCCAUAAAACCGUAUCGUAGUCCGGAUCGCAGUCUGCAACUCGACUGCGUGAAGUCGGAAUCGCUAGUAAUCGUGAAUCAGAAUGUCACGGUGAAUACGUUCCCGGGCCUU